This 424-nucleotide ribosomal RNA is filed under the name uncultured prokaryote. RNAcentral describes it as "bacterial SSU rRNA". It matches the Rfam family "Bacterial small subunit ribosomal RNA", at positions 355 to 796 of the family's 1533-position model. The record is from RNAcentral.
UUGGGAAUAUUGGACAAUGGGCGCAAGCCUGAUCCAGCCAUGCCGCGUGAGUGAUGAAGGCCCUAGGGUUGUAAAGCUCUUUCAACGGUGAAGAUAAUGACGGUAACCGUAGAAGAAGCCCCGGCUAUCUUCGUGCCAGCAGCCGCGGUAAUACGAAGGGGGCUAGCGUUGUUCGGAAUUACUGGGCGUAAAGCGCGCGUAGGCGGAUUGAUCAGUCAGGGGUGAAAUCCCGGGGCUCAACCCCGGAACUGCCUUUGAUACUGUCAAUCUAGAGGUCGAGAGAGGUGAGUGGAAUUCCGAGUGUCGAGGUCAAAUUCGUAGAUAUUCGGAGGAACACCAGUGGCGAAGGCGGCUCACUGGCUCGAUUCUGACGCUGAGGUGCGAAAGCGUGGGGAGCAAACAGGAUUAGAUACCCCUGUAGUCC